Molecule: non-coding RNA, 119 nt
Organism: Pseudomonas sp. MF4836
Lineage: Bacteria; Pseudomonadati; Pseudomonadota; Gammaproteobacteria; Pseudomonadales; Pseudomonadaceae
Source: Rfam
CGCUGGCCGAACGCAGGCAGUGAGCCGUGGGCAACCCGGCAGGACGCCGGGUUAGCCGCGCUGGGCCAAGGAUGGCCCAUCGCGGCGACCCACGGAUCAAUGCCUUCGUUCGGGCAUGC